This 85-nucleotide non-coding RNA is filed under the name unclassified sequences. The record is from Rfam.
AUUUGCGGCCUAUGGUGCGGAGCGCGGAAACGCCCCGGCGCUUGCUAACACUGAAAAGCGUAGGACACCUAAGGGCUGCAUUUUU